GGUUGGUUGUGGUUGUCACUGGUUGGUUGUAAUCAUCGUUGGGUUGGUUGUGGUUGUAGGACUGGUCAUGGUUGUCACCAGCUCGGUUGUGGGAUGGUUGUGGGAUUGGUCGUGGUUGUUGACACUGGGUCAGCUGUGGUUGUGGGAUUGAUUCUGGUUGUUGCAGGGUUGGUUGUGGUCAUCGUUGGGUCGGCUGUGGUUGUAGGAUGGGUUGUGGUUGUACCAGAUCGGUUGUGGUUGUCGUAGGAUCAGUUGUGGUUGUUGUCACUGGUUCAGCUGUGGUUGUGGGGUUGGUUGUGAUCAUCGUUGGGUUGGUUGUGGUUGUGGGAUCGGUUGUGGUCGUCACCAGAUCAGGUGUGGUUGUUGUGGGAUGGUUGUGGUGGUUGUUAUUGGGUCGGCUGUGGUUGUAGGAUCGGUUGUGAUCAUCACCAGGUCAGGUGUGGUCAUCAUUGGGUUGGUUGUGGUUGUAGGAAUGGUCGUGGUCGUCACCAGAUCGAUUGUGCUGUGGUUGUAGGAUUGGUUGUGGUUCUCAUUGGGUUGGUUGUGGUCAUGGUUGGGUCGGCCGUGGUUGUAGGAUUUGUCACGGUUGUCACCAGAUCAGUUGUGGGAUGGUUGUGGGAUUGGUUGCGGUGGUUGUCAUUGGCUCAGCUGUGGUUGUAGGAUUGGUUGUGGGCAUCGUUGGGUCGGCCUUGGUUGUGGUUGCCACCGGAUCAGGUGUGGUUGUUGAAGGAUUGGUCACCAGCUCGGUUGUGGUUGUCGUAGGAUCAGUUGUGGUUGUUGUCAUUGGCUCAGCUGUGGUUGUGGGAUCGGUUGUAAUCAUCGUUGGAUCAGUUGUGGUUGUUUUAGGAUCGGUUGUGGUCAUUGUUGGGUCGGCUGUGGUUGUAGGAUGGGUUGUGGUGGUCACCAGCUCGGUUGUGGUUGUCGU
Long non-coding RNA from Tympanuchus pallidicinctus (lesser prairie-chicken), 925 nucleotides. RefSeq lists it as uncharacterized. The record is from RefSeq and is a predicted model, not a curated record. Lineage: Eukaryota; Metazoa; Chordata; Aves; Galliformes; Phasianidae. The transcript is spliced from 5 exons.